AUGCAUCUUGCCAAGCCUGCCUAUGGGUCUGGAAAUCAGGGCAAGGCAAGAUUCCCACGUACAAAAUUAGAUCUUGGAAACAGAGAGAAGCUACCAACCUGGGAUGGCAGAGUGAUGACUGGAUUCUGGCAUUCAUCCUUGCACGAAGAGAAUAUUGGAGUUUCUAAAGAGUGUCUGAGACCGACCUUGUUGACAGUCCGCCAUGGCACUUCAACCCUACCACUUCAGGCGGAGGGUCUCCAUGGGGCACGUUCACAUGUGCAGGCCUUUUGUAACACUUUGUUGAGAGAAGUCUCAUCAUGUCUCCCAGAAUGAGGCCAAAUGCAGACUUUUCUUUUUCACAGAGACACUUGAUUAUCCUAUGAGAUGAGUUAAUCAGCCGGUGACGUGUUUUUGCAUGGCAACAACAAAGGAUGCAUCAGAUGCCGUGCAAAUGUCCCUGGCCUCCUCUAUCUAGGUCAUCAACCUGGAGCACUGCAUCACUUUGAUGUUUCUCUUUCCAUGUUCAUCAGCCACUUCUGAAAGGAAAAUGCAAAGU
This 538-nucleotide long non-coding RNA is filed under the name Rattus norvegicus (Norway rat). RNAcentral's name for it is "long non-coding RNA NONRATT033178". The record is from RNAcentral. Lineage: Eukaryota; Metazoa; Chordata; Mammalia; Rodentia; Muridae.